AUGCCCGGGAGGUUGUUACCGCCGAACGCCGCCGCCGCAAUGGGCUUUUCCUUCGCCGCCGCCGCUGCCCGACCUGCCAUGGCAUCCACCCUCCCUGGUUGGUCGAUGCUUGACUGCUUCGUGUUCUGGAGCGAGAACUUCGCCUUCCCCAAGGACGCCGCCUCAACCCUGGCCUCCGGCACCAACUCCAUGGACCAAAAGUUCCGGAUCUGCUUCAAACUCGUCGACCCGCCGGAGGUGUCCCGCCUUUAUCUGCAAAUGGAGGAAGGCCUGUGGCAGUCCCAUAGCUUCGAAAUCGUCGCGGCCCACCGCGCCGCGGUGCUCCUCCAGAUGAGCUACCCCAUCCAGGUGCCAGGCUACGACACCAUCAUCCCGAUGGUCGACCACUUCCUCUACCGCGCCGCCAGCUGGCUCCCCGCCGUCUCUGGAGCGGCUCCCCGCUCUUGA
This 447-nucleotide ribosomal RNA is filed under the name Triticum aestivum (bread wheat). RNAcentral describes it as "partial small subunit ribosomal RNA". The record is from RNAcentral. Lineage: Eukaryota; Viridiplantae; Streptophyta; Magnoliopsida; Poales; Poaceae.